UGCCUCGGGGUCCAGGCGCCUGCUGGUCCGCGGGGCGGGGGCUGUUCGGGCCGGCGGGUCCUCGGGAAGUGGGUCGGGGCCGGCGGCGGCGGCCGGGCGUGGGCCUGGGCCUGCGGGGGCCUGAGGCCAGGUUUUCUUGCUGACCCCGCAACAUGCAGAGGGUGGCGCGAGGCCACUGGAUGGAGGCCACACAGGGAGGCCGGUGCUGACCUGGCGGCCCUCUUCUGCGUCUGAGAUUAUAGCAUGAAAUUUUUAAAAAAGAGCCGCGCGAGGGGCUGGGGAGAUAGCUCAGUUGGUAGAGUGCUUGCCUCACAAGCACAAGGCCCUGGGUUCAAAUCCCCAGCACCGAAAUAAAGAGCCGCGGGGAGGUCACGCCUGUCAUUCCAGUGACUCAGGAGGCCGAGGCAGGAAGAUUCCAAGUUCAAGGCCAGCCUGGCAACUUAGACCCUGUCUCAAAAUAAAUAGAAAGGGCCGGGGAGGUUGCUCAGUGUUUGUCUCACUGCUCAGCAGACCUGAUAAAAGAAAAAUGGAGACUCCUGAUACCCUGAUGGACAUUCAUCCCUAGCAGGCUCACAUGCUGAUGUCUGCAGGCAAUCUUUGUGAAAGGUAUCCUGCCUGCUCCCCAGGGACAAGUAGGGGCCCUUCCCAGGCAGAGAUGUGCCCCAACCCGACCCGCUACAGCAGUCACUCUUGCUGCAGUCAACCUGUGGGUGAUGUCCUGGGCCUUGAGGUUUGCAAGUGAUGAAAGACCCACUGCAGCAACUAAGCUUAAGGGGAUCGGCAGGUCUAGGGGUUGCGGUCUCACGUCACCUGAGGGUCAGGGAGCAGCCAGGUCUGGAGCUGCCAAGCCCCGGGAGCUCUGGGGUAUGGUUUCAUUUCUCCCUGAUCUUCAGUUGCCUUAUUUUCCUGUUAGGUUCCGGAACUUUUCUCUGAGCUGGAGUCAGAAUGAUGCAGCCCGGGUCAGUCUUCACCUCGGGUCAUCUGUGGUGGCCUGUGGAAGAGGAUGUUUGCCCUUGGUGGUGGGGGGUAGUGGAGAGAGGAGGAACCCAUGCAGCUGAGCAGACAUUCUGAGGUCUGCUGCAGAGGGUCGGGCUGACACCACCCUCUUCCCUGCUCAAGUCCACCUGGGGAAAGGGCGCUCAGAUCCAUCUGGCAACUACAGAGCCCAAGCUGGGCUGCCGCUAGUCACAGCAGCACCUGGCAGCAUUAGAAAAGUGACUGGAAAUGAGAUUCUCCACAAGGCCUUGGAGAGCGUUAGAGGAGGGUGCCGUCUGUCACCCAGGAGAGCCCCUUAAGUCCCUCACCUCCGAUUCUUCUCCCUGACGCGGCAGCUUGUCACUCAAUUUCUGGAAGGCUGCAAGGCUGCCCCAGACUCGUUGGCCUCCCCUGUCCCUCUGCCAGCCAGGCUCCCUGUGCACUGGGCAGCUGGGUGCAAUUAAAGGCAAGGUCGCCAUGCCUCUCAGGCAGGGGGACUUAUUUGUCCCUGUCCCCUGCAUGGCUUCAGCCUUGUGAGCUCACACUGGCCCCGCUCCAGCCACCCACAGGGACAAGGCCCACAUCUCUGACGUUCUCCAGACCUGUGAGAAUCGGGCAUUCAUGCGCAUGGCCUCCAUGCUCAUAGAACCCCCAACCUGCCAAUCCUGCUCUAUCAGCCCCUCGCUUGAGGACCCUUAGGCAAAGAAGGCUGUUAGUACAUGAAAUGGCCAGAACGUUCCAGAAGAGAGGUGAAGUAGCUGGGCCAAGCUGUCCUCGUUCACCAUGAGCCCUGACGGCGGCUCAUCUGGUAACUCAGGAUGCCUGAGGAAGUACAGACCCAAGACUCCAGUCCCUCUGUGAAGUCCUGGGCCACAGACACAGCCCCUCCCUGCUGCCUUGGGCAGGGGAGGGUGUCUGUGAGGGCAGGUGCCCUGCGGCACGGGUUGGAAAGGACAGCAGGGCGCCUGCCCUGGCCUACUGGGCCCGGGAACACACCUCACUCCCAGGGGUGAGCGUGCGAGGCUGCUGCUGCUUGUUUGCUCAGGCUUUUGGGGUUUCUGGCAUGUGCAUUCUGAAGACCACAGGCCUUACCUGUGUGUGCGAGCCCACAUUUGGUCAUGAUUGAACUUGCCUUUGCAGGCUUGGAGAGAAGGGCUUCUCCAUCUGCUGCCUGGUCCUGGGGGUGGUCCACAGCCGGCCAGUGCUUCAGGGCAGUAGCAGCUGUCCUCUUCCUAACCAGGCGCAGAUUCUAUUCUCUGGAGCACAUGGGGAGCUAAACCGCAUUGACAGCGGCAGACUCAAGGAAAGGACUCCCUUCUGCAGUGGAGAGAAGCCUCUGCCUGGCCGCAAGGCUGCCCAUCAGCUCCACGUGGAAGCCCCUCCUGCGUCCAGCCGUCUCUGCUGCCGCUGAGACUGCCCCUUGACGGAGCACAACAGUGACCCUCUGGUUCUGCCCCUGGACCCAGCCAGGGGCUCCUCAGGCACUGGCCGUGGGUACCAACAACACCCGCCUUCCAGACACACGGCCAAGUCACAGGCUGGUCCACACCUGGCAUGGCCCAAGACGUGGUGUCAGGUGGCUUAGGAAGAAGAACCGCCACAUGGAAUCCCUGUCCCGAGGCCUGUUCAUACCACGAUUCAAUUCGGUGCCCCAGGGCCUCAGGACAGGGGUGAUGGUUGUGCCUUUAUGCUGAUGAGACAGGUGGGACUCCUGGGUCUGGGGUCCGGCUCAUGACACUGCUGAGCUUUGCACUUGACCCCUGCAGAAGAAAGCUGGGCAGUGGACAUGGGAAGGGAUCUGCCCAGUGCCCCUUGCCAUCCAGAGGACUCAGGACCUGGACCUCAUGGGCACCUGGGACCUCCAGAGGUCUCAAGCCUCGGGAGGGGUUAAGAGCCCUCCCCAGGAGCAGGAGGUGGGGUCCCACAGGGGCAUACAGAAGGAUCCGGCGGGUGUCUCCGAUCCUGGCUGCCCAGGGCAGGGACCCACUGCAGGAGCUGGGCUGAACCCUGUGUCCCCUGAGGGCAGACAGAGAAGCUGGGAGCGUUGGCACUCUCCUCCCUUACCCGAAGCUCAGGGCACCAACAGCUGACCGAGCUGCGCUGGUGACGUGUGAGUGAGGAUGGUGGGGCCGCAGAUGUGCACGAGCAGAGAGGGCGCAGGUCUUGCCCGCGUGGCUUCCUUCCACCCGCUCCAUGGGCUCUGUGUUGCCCACCAACAAGGGAGAGAUUCUGAGAUGUCCUGGGCUUGGUCACGAGGGCCCGAGGAUGGGGGAGGUCCAUCAGUCAACGGCUGCAGGCCAGACCACAGAAGACCACUCCACGUUCCCCAGUGUGUGGCGAGACCUGACUGGACCCAGGCAGAAGGCAGAGCCUCGGGCAUCGAGGGCAGGGCCUGCACCCAGUGGCCCUGGCGUGGUGCCUGCACCCGUCCCGGCCCCACCUCACACCCCUGAGGCAUGGACUCCUGCCCGCUCACUACCACCAAUGAAGAGUCCACGUGGAGUCGAUUUCUGCUCUAGACUUUCCCUGCAGACGUGCUCUUGGCUCUCAGGUCCAGGGAUGUUUUCCCAGCGAGUGUUGCCCUAAAGGACUCUAGGACUCUUUUAAACCUCCUGUCUCUUCAAACAACUUCUUCAUUCAAACAACUACUUCAUUCCCUACCUUACUUGUAGUUAAUGAAAAAGCAAAGCAGCUUCUCGGCACACUGUGGACGGCCCUUCUCCAGCCGUGGUCUGUCUCGUCCCUUCUUCUGGAAGACUUGUGUGCACCUACCUCUGUUCACGAGGUCCC
Molecule: long non-coding RNA, 3765 nt
Organism: Sciurus carolinensis (gray squirrel)
Lineage: Eukaryota; Metazoa; Chordata; Mammalia; Rodentia; Sciuridae
Exons: 3
Source: RefSeq, a predicted model, not a curated record